GCACUACAACGGGUGGAGCUUGCGGUUUAAUUGGAUUCAACGCCGGAAAUCUUACCGGGGCCGACAGCGAUAUGAAGGCCAGGCUAAGGACCUUGCCCGAUUAGCUGAGAGGUGGUGCAUGGCCGUCGUCAGUUCGUACUGUGAAGCAUCCUGUUAAGUCAGGCAACGAGCGAGACCCACGCCAACAGUUGCUAGCUCGUCCUCCGGGAUGGAGAGGACACUGUUGGGACCGCCUCUGCUAAAGAGGAGGAAGGAAUGGGCAACGGUAGGUCAGCAUGCCCCGAAUUGUCCGGGCUACACGCGGGCUACAAUGGGUGGGACAAUGGGUAUCGACACCGAAAGGUGAAGGCAAUCUCCUAAACCCAUCCUUAGUUCGGAUUGUGGGCUGCAACUCGCCCACAUGAAGCUGGAAUCCGUAGUAAUCGUGUUUCAAAAUAGCACGGUGAAUAUGUCCCUGCUCCUUGCACACACCGCCCGUCAAACCACCCGAGUGAGGUCUUGAUGAAGCCGUCGUUUUCUGCGGCGGUUGAAUCUAGGUUUUGCAAGGGGGGUU
RNAcentral lists this ribosomal RNA (553 nucleotides) under uncultured archaeon OS-16. RNAcentral describes it as "bacterial SSU rRNA". It matches the Rfam family "Archaeal small subunit ribosomal RNA", at positions 876 to 1429 of the family's 1478-position model. The record is from RNAcentral.